RNAcentral lists this ribosomal RNA (629 nucleotides) under Sporopachydermia sp. C90-399. RNAcentral's name for it is "LSU rRNA". It matches the Rfam family "Eukaryotic large subunit ribosomal RNA", at positions 1 to 640 of the family's 3401-position model. The record is from RNAcentral. Lineage: Eukaryota; Fungi; Ascomycota; Sporopachydermiomycetes; Sporopachydermiales; Sporopachydermiaceae.
AAUCUUUGACCUCAAAUCAGGUAGGAAUACCCGCUGAACUUAAGCAUAUCAAUAAGCGGAGGAAAAGAAACCAAGGGAUUGCCUUAGUAACGGCGAGUGAAGCGGCAAAAGCUCAAAUUUGAAAUCUGGGGUCUUUGGCCUCCGAGUUGUAAUUUGAAGAAAGUAUCUUUGGAUUUAGCCUUUUUCUAAGUUCCUUGGAACAGGACUUCAUAGAGGGUGAGAAUCCCGUAUGGAGAAGUGUCUAUUUCUAUGUAAAGUGCUUUCGACGAGUCGAGUUGUUUGGGAAUGCAGCUCUAAGUGGGUGGUAAAUUCCAUCUAAAGCUAAAUAUUGGCGAGAGACCGAUAGCGAACAAGUACAGUGAUGGAAAGAUGAAAAGAACUUUGAAAAGAGAGUGAAAAAGUACCGUGAAAUUGUUAAAAGGGAAGGGCUUCAGAUCAGACUUGAUGUUUAGUGAUCCAUCUUCCUUUUUGGUUGGUGCACGCGCUUUUCAUUGGGCCAACAUCGAUUUGAGUGGUAGGAUAAUGCCGUUGGAAUGUAGCUUCAUUCGUGAAGUGUUAUAGACUUCGGUGAUACUGCCCAUUUGGAUCGAGGACUGCGUCUUUUGACUAGGAUGUUGGCGUAAUGAUCU